RNAcentral lists this transfer RNA (67 nucleotides) under Marmota monax (woodchuck). Its description in RNAcentral is "tRNA.Ala". The record is from RNAcentral. Lineage: Eukaryota; Metazoa; Chordata; Mammalia; Rodentia; Sciuridae.
GUUGUGGCUCAGUGGUAGAGUGCUUGUCUGGCAUGUGUGAGGCCCUGGGUUUGAUCCUCAGCACACA